ACGCUGUUGGUGUAUUGGUAACAUUAGAGCUUCCCAUUACCUUUAAUGGCCGUCUUCAGGCGGAUAAUUGCUCUAGCACGGGGUUCGAUUCCCCGACAGCGUA
RNAcentral lists this transfer RNA (103 nucleotides) under Cryptococcus neoformans. RNAcentral's name for it is "tRNA-Gly". Lineage: Eukaryota; Fungi; Basidiomycota; Tremellomycetes; Tremellales; Cryptococcaceae. RNAcentral also lists the same sequence under 1 other name. The record is from RNAcentral.